Molecule: long non-coding RNA, 818 nt
Filed under: Panax ginseng (ginseng)
Lineage: Eukaryota; Viridiplantae; Streptophyta; Magnoliopsida; Apiales; Araliaceae
Description: long non-coding RNA (PGIN_LNC008611)
Source: RNAcentral
GAGCUUACUCCUUUCCCUCAACCUCUCUCUCUGCACCUUCUCUCUCGUACCCAUUGUCUCUUUUUAUAGAGCAUGAAAUGAAAGUAUAAUUUUUUUUGGAACUUUUUCUUGAAUAUUUACUCUUUUCUGUAAUUUUAUUUUCUUGAAAUCUCUGUUAUUUUUUUCUGCUGAACUUAUCAGAAGCCCAAAAAAUAUACCCCAGUGUUUUGCAGUCCAUGGAGCAGUGAUCUGUCUCUGACAGUUUCCAAGUCUUUACCAUUGUGUCUUUGUCCUUUCCCAUUUUUUAUAUACAAAUAUACAAAAAAAAUUCAAAAAGAAACAAAGAAAUGCCAGUGAAUGUUUUAGACUUUUAGUGGCGAGUUUAAAGGGAACAGCAGAACAUCGAGGAGACCCAUUUGGAGUUAUAUUUAGCAGAAUUUUUAUUUUGUUUGUUUAAAAAAAUUUGGAUUGCUCGGUGAAAAUGGAGAUCUAUGAAGUGGGUAUUUUUGUUUGGUGUUGUUUUUGUGUUUUUGGUCAGCAAAAUGCAUGGGGUUGGUAUAUAGUGGAUUCGGGGUGUGGAGUAAAGGAGAGCAGCUAGGGUUUUGUUUUUUGGGCUUAAAUCUUUUUAACUUUCUUAAACUGGGAAUAUCAUACAAAGAAGCAGACCCAAUAAAAUGGUGUUUGUAACAGAUUUGGUUGGUUUCUAAAAAGCUGAGUUGAGCUGAUUAUGAAGCUAGGUACACUUGCUGAUUGUUGUUUAUUGUUCUAUUUCAGCCUUAAGAAUGCAGAUAUUCAGUACAUUUGUGUGAGAAAAAGUAAAUUUUGGGGUUGAAUGAUUU